RNAcentral lists this ribosomal RNA (253 nucleotides) under uncultured bacterium. Its description in RNAcentral is "partial 16S ribosomal RNA". It matches the Rfam family "Bacterial small subunit ribosomal RNA", at positions 524 to 776 of the family's 1533-position model. The record is from RNAcentral.
UACGUAGGGUGCGAGCGUUAAUCGGAAUUACUGGGCGUAAAGCGUGCGCAGGCGGUUUUGUAAGCCAGAUGUGAAAUCCCCGGGCUCAACCUGGGAAUGGCAUUUGGGACUGCAAGGCUAGAGUGUGGCAGAGGGGGGUGGAAUUCCACGUGUAGCAGUGAAAUGCGUAGAGAUGUGGAGGAACACCGAUGGCGAAGGCAGCCCCCUGGGCUAACACUGACGCUCAUGCACGAAAGCGUGGGGAGCAAACAGG